Molecule: ribosomal RNA, 253 nt
Filed under: uncultured bacterium
Lineage: Bacteria
Description: partial 16S ribosomal RNA
Rfam family: Bacterial small subunit ribosomal RNA
Source: RNAcentral
UACAGAGGGGGCAAGCGUUAUUCGGAAUUACUGGGCGUAAAGGGCUCGUAGGUGGCCAACUAAGUCAGACGUGAAAUCCCUCAGCUUAACUGGGGAACUGCGUCUGAUACUGGAUGGCUUGAGUUUGGGAGAGGGAUGCGGAAUUCCAGGUGUAGCGGUGAAAUGCGUAGAUAUCUGGAGGAACACCGGUGGCGAAGGCGGCCUGCUGGGCAGUAGCUGACGCUGAAGCGCGACAGCGUGGGGAGCAAACAGG